AUUGAACGCUGGCGGCAUGCUUUACACAUGCAAGUCGAGCGGCAGCGCGGGGGCAACCCUGGCGGCGAGCGGCGAACGGGUGAGUAAUGCAUCGGAACGUACCCUGGAGUGGGGGAUAACGCCGCGAAAGCGGCGCUAAUACCGCAUAUGCUCUGAGGAGGAAAGUGGGGGGACCGCAAGGCCUCACGCUCUGGGAGCGGCCGAUGUCCGAUUAGCUAGUUGGUGGGGUAAAGGCUUACCAAGGCGACGAUCGGUAGCUGGUCUGAGAGGAUGAUCAGCCACACUGGGACUGAGACACGGCCCAGACUCCUACGGGAGGCAGCAGUGGGAAUUUUGGACAAUGGGGGCAACCCUGAUCCAGCCAUGCCGCGUGAGUGAAGAAGGCCUCGGUUGUAAAGG
RNAcentral lists this ribosomal RNA (399 nucleotides) under uncultured bacterium. Its description in RNAcentral is "bacterial SSU rRNA". It matches the Rfam family "Bacterial small subunit ribosomal RNA", at positions 28 to 431 of the family's 1533-position model. The record is from RNAcentral.